Molecule: ribosomal RNA, 468 nt
Filed under: uncultured bacterium
Lineage: Bacteria
Description: partial 16S ribosomal RNA
Rfam family: Bacterial small subunit ribosomal RNA
Source: RNAcentral
GACGAACGCUGGCGGCGUGCUUAACACAUGCAAGUCGAACGGAAAGGCCCUGCUUUUGUGGGGUGCUCGAGUGGCGAACGCGGGAGUAACACGUGAGUAACCUGCCCUUGACUUUGGGAUAACUUCAGGGGAAUGGGGCGAAUACCGGAUAGGAGAUACUGCUGCAUGGGGGGGGUUGGAGAGUUUCGGCGGUUGGGGAUGGACUCGCGGCUUAUCCGCUUGUUGGUGGAGUAGUGGCUUACCAAGGCUUUGACGGGUAGCCGGCCUGAGAGGGUGACCGGCCACAAUGGGACUGCGAUACGGCCCAGACGCCUACGGGCGGCAGCAGUGGGGAAUAUUGCACAAUGGGCGGAAGCCUGAUGCAGCAACGCUGCGUGCGGGAUGACGGCCUUCGGGUUGUAAACCGCUUUCUCCUGUGACGAAGCGUGAGUGACGGUAAUGGGUAAAGAAGCACCGGCUAACUACGUG